UACGUAGGGGGCAAGCGUUAUCCGGAUUUACUGGGUGUAAAGGGCGUGUAGGCGGGAAAGCAAGUCAGAUGUGAAAACCACGGGCUCAACCUGUGGCCUGCAUUUGAAACUGUUUUUCUUGAGUACUGGAGAGGCAGACGGAAUUCCUCGUGUAGCGGUGAAAUGCGUAGAUAUGAGGAGGAACACCAGUGGCGAAGGCGGUCUGCUGGACAGCAACUGACGCUGAGGCGCGAAAGCGUGGGGAGCAAACAGG
RNAcentral lists this ribosomal RNA (253 nucleotides) under uncultured bacterium. Its description in RNAcentral is "partial 16S ribosomal RNA". It matches the Rfam family "Bacterial small subunit ribosomal RNA", at positions 524 to 776 of the family's 1533-position model. The record is from RNAcentral.